RNAcentral lists this ribosomal RNA (429 nucleotides) under uncultured archaeon. Its description in RNAcentral is "bacterial SSU rRNA". It matches the Rfam family "Archaeal small subunit ribosomal RNA", at positions 474 to 903 of the family's 1478-position model. The record is from RNAcentral.
UACCUGCAGCUCGAGUGGUAACCGCUAUUAUUGGGCCUAAAGCGUCCGUAGCCGGUUUGGUAAAUAUCUGGGUAAAUCGUGAGGCUUAACUUCACGAAUUUCGGAUGGACUGCCAGACUUGGGAUCGGGGGAGGUCAGAGGUACUCCAGGGGUAGCGGUGAAAUGUUGUAAUCCUUGGAGGACCACCGGUAGCGAAGGCGUCUGACUAGAACGAGUCCGACGGUGAGGGACGAAGCCCUGGGGCGCAAACCGGAUUAGAUACCCGGGUAGUCCAGGGUGUAAACUAUGUGGGCUUUGUAUUGGAGGUCCCACGUGGGCGUCCAGUGCAGAAGAGAAGUUGUUAAGCCCACCGCCUGGGAAGUACGGUCGCAAAGCUGAAACUUAAAGGAAUUGGCGGGGGAGCACAGCAACGGGAGGAGCGUGCGGUUU